UUGAUAAGGACGGGGUUAAUCCCGCCUGCACAGGGCUACAACCUGCCGCCUAUCUCGGCC
RNAcentral lists this transfer RNA (60 nucleotides) under Lamprolepis smaragdina. RNAcentral's name for it is "partial tRNA-Tyr". The record is from RNAcentral. Lineage: Eukaryota; Metazoa; Chordata; Lepidosauria; Squamata; Scincidae.